GACGAACGCUGGCGGCGUGCUUAACACAUGCAAGUCGAACGGGCCUUGUCCCCUUUUUUUUUGGGGGUGGGGUUAGUGGCGAACGGGUGAGUAACACGUGAGUAACCUGCCCCUCACUUCUGGAUAACCGCUUGAAAGGGUGGCUAAUACGGGGUGUUCUGGCCUGCUCGCAUGGGUGGGUUUGGAAAGAUUCGACCGGUUUUGGUUGUUUUGGUGGGGGAUGGGCUCGCGGCCUAUCAGCUGGUUGGUGGGGUGAUGGCCUGCCAAGGCUUUGACGGGUAGCCGGCCUGAGAGGGUGGGCGGUCACGCUGGGACUGAGACACGGCCCAGACUCGUACGGGAGGCAGCAGUGGGGAAGAUUGCACGAUGGGCGCAAGCCUGAUGCAGCGACGCCGCGUGAGGGAUGGAGGCCUUCGGGUUGUGAACCUCUUUCGCCAGUGAAGAAGGUCCUGCUCUUUGUGGUGGGGUUGACGGUAGCUGGGUUAAUGAAGCGCCGGCUAACUACGUG
This 508-nucleotide ribosomal RNA is filed under the name uncultured bacterium. Its description in RNAcentral is "partial 16S ribosomal RNA". It matches the Rfam family "Bacterial small subunit ribosomal RNA", at positions 28 to 507 of the family's 1533-position model. The record is from RNAcentral.